This 698-nucleotide ribosomal RNA is filed under the name uncultured bacterium. RNAcentral describes it as "bacterial SSU rRNA". It matches the Rfam family "Bacterial small subunit ribosomal RNA", at positions 89 to 803 of the family's 1533-position model. The record is from RNAcentral.
GACUGAGCGGCGGACGGGUGAGUAACGCGUGAGUAACCUGCCUCAUACAGGGGGAUAACAGUUAGAAAUGGCUGCUAAUACCGCAUAAGACCACAGUACUGCAUGGUACAGUGGUAAAAACUCCGGUGGUAUGAGAUGGACCCGCGUCUGAUUAGGUAGUUGGUGAGGUAACGGCCCACCAAGGCGACGAUCAGUAGCCGACCUGAGAGGGUGACCGGCCACAUUGGGACUGAGACACGGCCCAAACUCCUACGGGAGGCAGCAGUGGGGAAUAUUGCACAAUGGGGGAAACCCUGAUGCAGCGACGCCGCGUGAGCGAAGAAGUAUUUCGGUAUGUAAAGCUCUAUCAGCAGGGAAGAAGAAAUGACGGUACCUGACUAAGAAGCACCGGCUAAAUACGUGCCAGCAGCCGCGGUAAUACGUAUGGUGCAAGCGUUAUCCGGAUUUACUGGGUGUAAAGGGAGCGCAGGCGGAAGGCUAAGUCUGAUGUGAAAGCCCGGGGCUCAACCCCGGUACUGCAUUGGAAACUGGUCAUCUAGAGUGUCGGAGGGGUAAGUGGAAUUCCUAGUGUAGCGGUGAAAUGCGUAGAUAUUAGGAGGAACACCAGUGGCGAAGGCGGCUUACUGGACGAUAACUGACGCUGAGGCUCGAAAGCGUGNGGAGCAAACAGGAUUAGAUACCCUAGNAGUCCACGCCGU